GUCCCACGUUCGGAUCGCAGGCUGCAACCCGCCCUGCGUGAAGUCGGAAUCGCUAGUAAUCGCGGAUCAGCAUGCCGCGGUGAAUACGUUCCCGGGCCUUGUACACACCGCCCGUCAAGCCAUGGGAGCCGGGGGUACCUGAAGUGCGUAACCGCGAGGAUCGCCCUAGGGUAAAACUGGUGACUGGGGCUAAGUCGUAACAAGGUAAC
This 209-nucleotide ribosomal RNA is filed under the name uncultured bacterium. RNAcentral describes it as "partial 16S ribosomal RNA". It matches the Rfam family "Bacterial small subunit ribosomal RNA", at positions 1284 to 1500 of the family's 1533-position model. The record is from RNAcentral.